GAACCUGGGCUGCCUGGGAUAAUUCCAAGUGCUGGGCUGGGGCUGUGAUAUCAGAAUAGAGUUAUGACAUCAAUGGAAGGCAGGUGAGCCUAGGGGAGAAGCAAGAACAGAGGAGCCCCUGAGGCUCUAGGUUAGCCCCCCAGAAGGGAAGACCCAAGAGGGAGGUGGCCAACUCUGUAUCAGCUUCUUACAGACCUGAACAUCGGAAAAUGACUCACAGACGGGGUUUCACCAUGUUGGCCAUGCUGAUCUCGAACUCCUGACCGGCCUAAAUACACAAUUCUUAACAACCUAUAUAAGCAAGCACUACUUUUAAGGUAGCGCAUUGCUCCUUUUGCUUUCUGAGGACACCCUACUCUGUAAUUGAGUAGUCUGUAAUAAGUGAUCUUAACUUCACUCUGUGACUCGCCUUGAAUUCUUUCCUGCGACAGAUUCAAGAACCCACUCUGGGGAUCUGGGACCAGACCCCCUUUUCUGGUGACAACAGGUGGAAAGGAACUGCAACACCACAGUCUUCUUCUGCAAGGACACUGCUGGUGCUGCCAAGGGUGUCACGGCACACUGGCCCCACAACAGAUCCUUGCUGGGCACCAACUCCAGUAACAAACUCAGGGCCUGGCCCUGAGGUCACCAUGGAAACAAGACAUAUAGGCUCUCUCUGCCCUCAAGGAACUUAGGUUCUAUCGAGGAGAUGAACAAUAAAAAAUUUAAAAGGU
Molecule: non-coding RNA, 716 nt
Organism: Macaca mulatta (Rhesus monkey)
Lineage: Eukaryota; Metazoa; Chordata; Mammalia; Primates; Cercopithecidae
Source: RefSeq, a predicted model, not a curated record